Pelobates cultripes (western spadefoot toad) is the source of this 93-nucleotide non-coding RNA. The record is from the annotation of a GenBank genome assembly. NCBI's taxonomy places the organism in Eukaryota, Metazoa, Chordata, Amphibia, Anura, Pelobatidae.
CCCCAGAUGUUGCUGAACUACAACUCCCAUGAUUCCCUGCCCACCUGUUUCGUUGAAAGAAUCAUGGGAGUUGUAGUUCAGCAACAUCUGGGG